GUGCACCAGGCGAGAAUACUUUACAAUGUGCGAAAGCACGAUAAGGGAACUCUGAGUGCCUCCUAAGGAGGCUGUUCAGGUGUCUAAAAAGCACCUGGAGUAAGGGCUGGGUAAGACCGGUGCCAGCCGCCGCGGUAACACCGGCAGCCCAGGUGGUAGCCACUUUUAUUGGGUCUAAAGCGUCCGUAGCCGGUUGAGUAAGUUCCUUGGGAAAUUUGGCUGCUCAACAGUCAAGCUUCCAGGGAAUACUGCUCGACUUGGGACUGGGAGAGGUCAGAGGUACUCCAGGGGUAGGGGUGAAAUCCAUUAAUCCCUGGGGGACCACCGGUAGCGAAGGCGUCUGACCAGACCAGGUCCGACGGUGAGGGACGAAGGCUAGGGUCGCGAACCGGAUUAGAUACCC
RNAcentral lists this ribosomal RNA (403 nucleotides) under uncultured microorganism. RNAcentral's name for it is "bacterial SSU rRNA". It matches the Rfam family "Archaeal small subunit ribosomal RNA", at positions 330 to 738 of the family's 1478-position model. The record is from RNAcentral.